This 257-nucleotide small RNA is filed under the name Arabidopsis thaliana (thale cress). RNAcentral's name for it is "ATSL050800". The record is from RNAcentral. Lineage: Eukaryota; Viridiplantae; Streptophyta; Magnoliopsida; Brassicales; Brassicaceae.
UUUGGAUAUCAAAUCUAAUUAGUUGAUUUUAAUUGGUUACUUUUUUGGAAAUUAAUAAUGUAUUUCGUUUUUUAAUUAAAUUUAAUUAAUUAAAUUAGUAUUUGACUUUUUAAUUUUUAAAGAGAUGAAUUAAUUUACUUUUUAAAUUUUAUUUCUAAUGGCAUACCUAUGUAAUUACUUACAAAAAAUAAGGUUAUAUUUAAAAUGUACUUCCCAAAUAAUAUAGUAGAAUGUGCUUUAGUUGGUUGAAUACAUAA